This 485-nucleotide ribosomal RNA is filed under the name uncultured bacterium. RNAcentral's name for it is "partial 16S ribosomal RNA". It matches the Rfam family "Bacterial small subunit ribosomal RNA", at positions 30 to 508 of the family's 1533-position model. The record is from RNAcentral.
AUUGAACGCUGGCGGCAGGCCUAACACAUGCAAGUCGAGCGGAUGAAGGGAGCUUGCUCCUGGAUUCAGCGGCGGACGGGUGAGUAAUGCCUAGGAAUCUGCCUGGUAGUGGGGGAUAACGUCCGGAAACGGGCGCUAAUACCGCAUACGUCCUGAGGGAGAAAGUGGGGGAUCUUCGGACCUCACGCUAUCAGAUGAGCCUAGGUCGGAUUAGCUAGUUGGUGGGGUAAAGGCCUACCAAGGCGACGAUCCGUAACUGGUCUGAGUGGAUGAUCAGUCAAACUGGGACUGAGAAACGGUCCAGACUCCUACGGGAGGCAGCAGUGGGGAAUAUUGGACAAUGGGCGAAAGCCUGAUCCAGCCAUGCCGCGUGUGUGAAGAAGGUCUUCGGAUUGUAAAGCACUUUAAGUUGGGAGGAAGGGCAGUAAGUUAAUACCUUGCUGUUUUGACGUUACCAACAGAAUAAGCACCGGCUAACUUCGUGC